GCACACUGUAACCUCGGACCUUUUAUGACUGGUUUUCUUUCGCCACCUCGGUGCGAAAUCUAAAAAGUGUAUUGAGAAAAAAAAUUGUGGGGAAACCGACUUGUAUUGAUUAAGGAGACGCGGGCAUGCAUGUAUGUCUUUCCUUUAAUGUGAGAAGGGCUUAAAGUUAAAAUACUUUCUUAAAGGCAACUGCAACAGUUGAAAUCGAUUAAUGCGCCGCUUACUACAACAAAAAAAAAAUUCGCAGUUUAAAAAUCUUUAAGAAAUCAUAUUCACAUUACAGUCUGUGAUUGUGGAAACUUAUUUUUUCAAAGAUCCAUCAAAAAAGAUUAAACCGUUUUACAUGGCUGUUAUUUACCAAAUUUUCCUUACAUCAAGCCUUUCAAAAUAUCACUCUUUUUAUGUUUACAAAAUGUUAGUUUUGGUCAAUUUCUUCUCGUAUGAUUUUAUAUAGACGCCUUCAAGAUUCAGUGUAAACGAAAAAAAUAAUAGCAUGAUUUUUUUUAUCGUCAUGGUGAUGCCUGAACACAAAGACAGAGUGGCUUUUAUUUAUUAUUUUAUCAAGCAAAACUCCUUUAAUAAUAGCAAUCACUUCAAAAUUUCGCA
Molecule: non-coding RNA, 606 nt
Organism: Schizosaccharomyces pombe (fission yeast)
Lineage: Eukaryota; Fungi; Ascomycota; Schizosaccharomycetes; Schizosaccharomycetales; Schizosaccharomycetaceae
Source: the annotation of a GenBank genome assembly